RNAcentral lists this ribosomal RNA (617 nucleotides) under Klebsiella pneumoniae. RNAcentral describes it as "bacterial SSU rRNA". It matches the Rfam family "Bacterial small subunit ribosomal RNA", at positions 1 to 609 of the family's 1533-position model. The record is from RNAcentral. Lineage: Bacteria; Pseudomonadati; Pseudomonadota; Gammaproteobacteria; Enterobacterales; Enterobacteriaceae. RNAcentral also lists the same sequence under 2 other names.
AAAUUGAAGAGUUUGAUCAUGGCUCAGAUUGAACGCUGGCGGCAGGCCUAACACAUGCAAGUCGAGCGGUAGCACAGAGAGCUUGCUCUCGGGUGACGAGCGGCGGACGGGUGAGUAAUGUCUGGGAAACUGCCUGAUGGAGGGGGAUAACUACUGGAAACGGUAGCUAAUACCGCAUAAUGUCGCAAGACCAAAGUGGGGGACCUUCGGGCCUCAUGCCAUCAGAUGUGCCCAGAUGGGAUUAGCUAGUAGGUGGGGUAACGGCUCACCUAGGCGACGAUCCCUAGCUGGUCUGAGAGGAUGACCAGCCACACUGGAACUGAGACACGGUCCAGACUCCUACGGGAGGCAGCAGUGGGGAAUAUUGCACAAUGGGCGCAAGCCUGAUGCAGCCAUGCCGCGUGUGUGAAGAAGGCCUUCGGGUUGUAAAGCACUUUCAGCGGGGAGGAAGGCGAUAAGGUUAAUAACCUUGUCGAUUGACGUUACCCGCAGAAGAAGCACCGGCUAACUCCGUGCCAGCAGCCGCGGUAAUACGGAGGGUGCAAGCGUUAAUCGGAAUUACUGGGCGUAAAGCGCACGCAGGCGGUCUGUCAAGUCGGAUGUGAAAUCCCCGGGCU